CAUGAUAUAAAACUGCUCCUCCUGGACAGAAGCACAGAAGCUGCACUGCAGAAACUACAGUCUUCCAGUUUUCUCUGCAUGGAUUAACAGAAUAAUUCGACAAGGUAUCAAAGGCUGCAUUGAAUGAUUAAGAAAAGCUGAUCUGCCUCUUGACAAGGCCAAUCAUCUAAAAAAGUUACAGGGAACGAUGGUAUUAGGUAUAUACUGUGAACAACUAACGAAAGAAUAAUCAGUUAUCUUUUGGGGGAAGGCUGCAUAGUACACAGGAAAUGACUGUGUGCUGGUAGCCACUCCCCAUGAGCAUCCCCCAGACAUAUUUCUACUGAUAACACACCACACGUGGGGGUUGCCUGCUGUACAAACUGCACUUAGACACCAUCAUGCUCACCAUGCUCACAUGCAAGAGAAAAAGGGCCAAGGCAGGAUAUGGGAUUGCCAGGCUCUGACCUUCUGUGCCAGCCACAGACAAUACACAGGUAAGACCAGCUUGUUAAAUAGACAGGCAAGAGCUACGAGUAUUAAUCUGUGCCGAAAAUCAGACGUUUGUUCAGCUGAAAAUUUAACGUCUAUAAUUCUGUGGUCAGGUUACAGGCUCACAUUCCACCAAAUGCAAAGACCUAGGAGUAACAUUGGAAAAAUCCAAAUGUAGAACCAAUAAUGAGCAGGUAAAAAAAACACCCAAAAAACUGUGCAAACUUUCAACACUAGCCUUUGAGCACACUUCAGUGGGAUUCUGUUAAGCUCUCAGAGAGUUUAAAGGGUAGCCACCUCCAACUUCACAGCAAUAUUUUUAAUCUCAAAUAAGUUUUAACUAGAGAUCUCAGAUUUUCUAACAAUAACCACUUGCCAGUCUUCCAGGGCAAGAAGUGUUUGGAGAGCUGCUCCUCGGCCAGCCCCCAGAGCCACAGAGGCAGGGACAGGCCUCUCCACUGGCAUGGUAGGCUGGGAGCUGCCUUGAGCCCCACCGCGCGGCUCCGAGCCUGAGACAUGGACAGGGACAUCUGCCUCCCAUCGCAUGGGAAGCCUGUUACCACAGACAAAAACAUAAUCCAUGUACCAAGCUGCUCUCUCAGACCCCUCCCCCUCCUUUAUUUCAAUCACUUGUGAGUGAAAAUAGCAUACAUACACGAAUGAAUUAAGCAGCACAUAGCGCAUCAAAGAAAGCUUAAAUUAAAUGCAAGAUUCUCAAGUACGUUCCCCAUUCUACCCUCAUGAAUGCAAAUUGUAUUGCUCCAUGCAUAUGGAAAGCAUUAUUUUUUUCAGCCGGCAGCACAAAAUAUGAAGAGUAUGAAUCAAGCAGAUCAGUGACUCCUUUCUUCUCCACACAAUGAUGCCGUGUUACAAAAGAAUAUUUUUAGGUCACGCACUUUCAUCAGGCCAGCGGGCCAAGAGGAUGGCUGUAACUCUUGUGUAAGGGCAACUUGUUCCACCACUUUCAGCAAAGCAAAACCAUGCUCUUUGCUGUAUGCUCGCCACUUUUGUGCCUGUGAGCACUCAGUUGGCAUCUCUGGAGGAGAAACAGGCCAGUAUUUUCUGGAGGCUGCUGCGCGUCACCAAAAUCAAACUAUAUUCAUAAACCCUCUGUGAAAACUAUUCCUUGCCCUACCUUUUCUGCUGCAUAUAAAAAGUUAAACAUUGUUUUAUGAGCAAAUAUAUAAACCAGAAGCAGUUAACUUCAUAAACUCUUCUAACAUGUCAUUCAGUUAUACUCUGCCUUUACCACUCUGUCAUUGACUCUCUUGAAUCCCCUCCCCACCUCCCUCAUGCUGCCAACAAAAAAAUAAUUGGUUUCAUUAAAAAAAUGUAACAUAAUCACUUCACUAUAUGGAUAUCCUAAUUUUUAAUUUAUGAGAACUGGUGUGCACAGAACCCUAAAGCUGGAACUAGUCCCCCUGCCUGACAUCAAACCAGCCUGGUUUCAAUGCAAGGUGCUUCUCAGUAAUGUGAUGACCACCAUUCCCCUCUGCUGAAAGUCAACUCAUCAUUAGUAUAAACAAAAAGCAAAGGGAAUGCAAAACAGACAACUAUUUUUAAUUAUAAAUAAAAAUGUCAAAAAGAUAAAAAAAGCUGGAAACAGCAAGCAGGAGGAAAACAACAUGAUGGGACUUAAAAUUCUACUUAAGACCAACUCUGUUAGCAUUAAUUUAUAAACACUGACAGCUAAAAACAGACUGGAUGAGAGUACUGGCUUUCUUGGGAUUUGAGAGCUGCUAUAUAUAGAAUCCUGAGUGGCCUAAUUUUUUCUGAAUUGCUGUUUUCAGUUGUCUUGACGUUGCUGGAAGGAAAAAAAAAAUGCUGGCUGAAAAACCAAUGGAAGUUUAAUAUCUCUGAUGAGCGCUCCAUGGAGGUGGUGGUACCCAGACCCGGCAAGUCAGAACUUUACAGCUUGUAUCAGCAACAUCGCCAGGUGACUCCAGCCUCAGACUGAAAGCCGCUUACCUAAAGCAAGGAAAGAAAUGUGAAAAGUACGGAAAAGAGGAAAGAUGAACAAAUAACUCCCGCAGUAGAAGCAUGGAAGUGCUGCACCUUGAGGAAGGUCUUGAAAGUAAUCAAACUUCACCAUUAAAGAGGGUAUUGAUAGUUUUCAAAAUCUAAAUUAACUGCCACUGUAGCUGUUUGCAUGUUGUGGUCCAUCUGGCUGAGAGAAUGAGGCCUCACUGAGUAUUUCCACUGUUCAAUUCCUAUACACCAACUUAAGAUGAUUUGGAACAGCACUGGAAAUAAAAAGUAAAAUUAUCUCCAAGUGUCUUUGGUUAGCACAUUUUACUGAUUUUUUUUUUUAUUAUUCUUUGUCAGUACAGAGCUUGCGAAAUAUGACAUUCCUAAGUCCACCAUCCAUGUUCCAACAUACUAGGUUUAAGAAAUUAUCAGCUCUGAGCUUCUUAUGAUGAGACAAACUAAAUUCCUGGUACUUACUUAGAAAUUACAAUGGCAGAAUAAUGCUUCAAAACCAAAUGUCAAGUAAUUUAAAAUUUGGUACCAGGUACUGUUUUUUUCCUACCACUUGGAAUAAGCAGAGCUGGAUUAUCUCUUGAAUGAUUACAGCAGUCAAGUGACUUAUGACUUGCUGUAGUCAGUGACUUGCAUUGGGUUAUGCAAAAUGCAAGUUAUCUGGAGCUAAGUGUCACUUAAAUGAUGUGCCCCUUUACAGUUAAACAAUGCAAAGACAGAACUCUACUUAAUACACAUCUAAGUCGGUUGUCAGAGCACAGAACAAACUGAAACCAAGCUGCCAACAGGAGUUAUUAACUACUUAUUUUUUGAUGCACUCUCAAAACUAGUAUUGCCCACAGAUAAAUUCAGCAAAGGUAGAUCUCUUUUUUUUCAUAGCAGGAAUGAUAUAUCACUGGGGCUUAACGGAAAUAGGUUUUAAUCCCUGCCUGCAGAUGCAUAGUCUCAUUUACAGACAUUUCAGGAGCAGUGCAUCAAUUAGCAAUCUUCUUUUUGCUUUUGCUUGUCACUGCUUACUCAGAUGCAGAUAGACAGGAGUCAAAGGGGUGGUGUAUUACCACUUUACACAGGGAAACGUGUUAACAGUACUGCUCUUAGGUCACGUGAAAACUGCAGGAGUGCCCACUGCGUACUUAAAAUGAGGCUAAAAUAUACUGAUUAUAGAAAUUAAAACUGAAAACCAGCAUAUUGUCACCCUUCAUUUUUAUAGAACAAGUCUCGUUCAGUGCUUCAUGUCACAGAUAAUAUAAUUUACCAGGGUUUACAGAAAUAAUUCGGAAUGAACGAACUCACCUACUGAAACAGUUUUGUGUAUCUAAAACUACUGGGAUCUCAGCCAUCAAAAUUUGGGCCUAACCAGCACCUGAAGAACUGUCUUACUUUCUGCACCUUGGUGACUUCACUGCGAUGUGACAUUAACAAGCCAGGGUAGUUAUGGGGAAAUGCUGUUUGAGAGACCAUCCUUCAGACAACAUAUAAAACAUGAGCUUGACUUUCAUGGCAAUGUUUACACAGAUGAUUAACACACUCCAUACCAAAAUUACCUCAAUGUUUCAAGGUGAACAUGGUAAUUUUCUGAAGAUCUUGUGAGACAUUAACAGCAACCAUGUUAUUGCAAUCACACAUGAACAGCUAUUGGAUUGCAAAGCAUUUUUAAGGGAAAAAAGAAUAUCCACGCCAGUUAUUUUGAGAUGAGUUUCAAAAGCAACAGAAUGAGCGUUAACUGGAGAAGAGACCCAUCUUUAGCAGCUAUUGCUACUCUGCUCACCUUAGUUACAAAUUAACAUGGGUCUAUGAAGAUUUUGCUCUAAAAUUCAUGGAUUCCUUUUCUUACUAUUUUCCUGAAUAAAUACAUAUUUACACUUCAAAAUGAAUGCCAUGACUGAGCUCUGAAAGCAGAAACUGCAAACCACUUAGGCCUGAACAGGAUUGUCAUCAAAAACAUUACAAAGGUCACAAGCCAAACUGCUGAACUGCAAGACAGCACUGUGCUCUAGAAGCAAUACCAAAGAAAAUUUGGUGCUUUCCACACACACACGUAAAAAAAAAAACCAAAACCAAACCCCCAAUCAACCAAAGAGUUCUCACUUUAUUUUUAGUGAAAAAGAUCAACAAAAUAACAAACGGAGCAGGGAAGUAAAGGGAGAAGAAAGUUCCUAAUUACAAUUACCUGGCUAUGCAAUACUGGUGAAUGUUUGAUAGUUCUGUAUUUAACUGAAGAGAAAUACACAAGUCCUACUACAUAUUCAGUGUGCACUACAGGACCCAGGAAAGAUACAAAGCAGAUGGACAACCUACACUGGCAGAAGCAUAAAAUUGUUGCAGACUUUAAAAGCCAAACACGCAGCAGUCUGUCUGCUCUUUCUGAGCCCAACAGUAUCACUGCUGGUUUCAACAAGGCAUGACCAAGCUCUGUAACCGUAACACAAGCGUACCUCUGGUACCUUUCACAGUUGCAACACACUGGAUAAAUCACUUAAAAAAAAAAAAAGUAUCUACUAUCCCACCUAUCAUCACAGCUACUAUGCUACUAUUCUGGAACAGCAAAGGACAAAUUGUAGUAAGUUCCAUCUCUGGUCAAGUUUUUAAAGCUAAAUAUCAAUAUGGGUACUGGCAGAAGAUAACGAGAGUAGUGUUCAAAAUUCAGACUAAGCUUUUGGUGUGUUUUCUCCCCACACAGAAACACUGUUCAUUUUUGGUUUUUUGCUUUCAUAUAGACCCUCCUUUGCAAAACUGGAAGCUACAGGACAAAAAUAAACAUUUUCAAAGGACAGGACAUACUGCUAACUGAAAAAUAAAACCUAAAUACAGUAAACAAAUAAUGAAAAGCAGUAUGAAGUAUUUUAAAAGUUGAUUUUCAUAAAUUCCUACCUCUUCUCUAAAUUCCUCCCUUAGAUGAGUGGUCAGUGGCCUUUCUUCAAAGAUGAUAAGAGGCACGCUCAAAAUUGAGUAGUAAGAAGAGCGUACUACAUAACAAGCUUCCGUUUGAUGCAUAGCAAACAACAGGAUGAUGAUUUAUGUAGUUAUUAGACUCAAGCACACAAAACGAAGCAUAUAAAAGUUCUUUUUAAAAUUAUUUAUUCCAACAACAGGUUUUCAAUUAAGAGGAUUACAUAGUAAAACAACUGUUCUCACUGGUAGGGAAGUAGUUUUAAAAUCUGAUUUGUAGCCAAAAGAUGCCUCUAAAUUGGCUUAGUUAUAGAUUUCAAGAUUAUUUAUUUGUGUUAUUACAACAGUUCUGAUUAAACCUUUUAAAACAUACAAAUGCCAACAAUACAUAACCAGAUUUCUUGUUCACAUUAAGUGAAAUGCCUCACCAUUGUGUAACAGACCAGUCCCUGGUGAACAAGACAUACAAGUUCUCCUUGUGAAAUAUAAAGAGGAGAUAAAUAAAACAUGGAAAAAAUUUAGAGGAAGCCAAACCUGUUUAAAUUAGAACACAAUGCAGUUUAAUAAGGGCCAUGCAUGCAAAACAUCUUGAAGAAUUCAGUAGGCUACUUUAUAACAGAAUAGAAAAUGUCAACCGCUCCCCCCCCACCUCUUCCGUAGUUAAAAACGGGGAGGGGAAAUCAGAGAGGUUGACUCCUAAAGCCUUCACUCUCUUCCUUCCUCACCACCCACUAAAAUAGGAGCUCUUUUUUUUUCUAAUGACGCACAUCUAAAAGCAAUAACUUGCUCUAUGAUGCCUGGUAAUAGGGCCCAAAACACUGAAACAUUUAAACACCUAAAUUUAAACUCUCCAAUCCUGCCAGUGGAUAAGAGAGACUAGAAAAUGUCUCUUUGAGGGGACCCUGGUCCUGCAGAUAAAAGUAGGAAGGUGAAUAGCACUCGAGUCUGAAUUUCAGCCUGUGCCUCAAAAAUAGCUUGAUUUUUUUUUUUUUUGGGGGGGGGGGGGGGGGCGCGGUAGAAAAACAAAUCACAUGUAUGUUCUGAAGACAAGGCUUGUCCUCAGUGACUCCUCCUAUGUGCCUUUUUUUUUUUUUUUUACUGUCAGAUAAGGAAAUAGUUUCUCAUUAAUUCCUUAACAAUAAAUACUCACCCACAGUAGAUCACGGUACAAUGUAUGCUAUAAAUAUCAAAUGACUAAUAUUUAGUUCCUUGCACACAACACACUUCUGAUACCCGUUUCUGAUUAAGCUAUGGAAAUUCUUAGAUUAAGGAUCACUAGCAUAAGCAAAGGUAACAGUGGCCUGCAUUUGUUUUGCACUUGUUCUGAUCUUUCCUCCAUCAUAAGCCACAUACCUCUUCUUAUGUUAAACAUUAAAUGUUUUGUUAGAUCCUGUUAGAUUCUACAACUCAAGAACAACGGAGAGCAACUCUGUACCUAUGAACUCAAGUUUGAAAGGGACUUUUAGUACAAGAGUAACCCAUUCCUAAGAAAUAGCAUCAUGAAGUUGAACUCUACAACAGUUAACUAACACUAUUACAAAUUACUGUUAGCUUUCUUUCCACAUCCCUCAACAUAGCAGGCUGACACUAUAAAGCCAAUUAAGGGCCUUAUGUGUGCAUCUUUUGACUACUACUCUGUCUGUAAGGUUUGCACCGUAUAUCGGAAUUUAAACAGCAUUCGACAGGGUCCUGAUUUCAUAUUUUUUAUUUUAAGAAAAUAUUUUUGAUAGGCUGUAUUUAUGUUUAUCUGUGUAUGUCUUUACUAGGUCAUACUGCUCAACAAGAGCAUACUAAUAUUCAGACCUGAUCCGUGACAUUUUGUAGAUAUUUUUUGGAUAGAUAUCUAUGCAGUCUUCCUCCUAACUGGAGAUCAAAGCAGAGACACUGACACACUCAAACAGCCAAAGAAUGUGUUAACUGGUCAGUAGGUAUGCCCCUAAUAAAUCCAAGACAGUUUUUAAGUGCUUAGCAGUUUGUUUGACAGGCCACAUUUUACAUAAUUCCAUGAAGAAGCAGAGUUGUUGCUGCAAGUGAGAUAAAAAGAUCAAUUCUGGUUUUGAGGGAGUGAUGAACAAGAAGUGCACUAGCCUUUUCUUGAGUCCAGGUAAGGAAUACCUGCAGAAGGUUAAGUUUGACAAGAAUACUGCCAACUACCCUAGUUUAGGAUUCAACAGGACAAUACUCUCCUCACACUGCCAGGAGAGUACAAAGCUAUAGAAUAGUGCCUGCAGAAAGACUAGGAAUGUUUGGAAGAAUGUCUUUUCUCCCCAGAACUGCUGCAUUCAAGAAGCAUCAAUCUCUUCCUCUAGGGAAACUCUGAACUGUCCUGGUUUCCAGUCACUAGUAGCCAAAACAGAUGAUAGAUUUAAAUCUUUGAGGACAGUCGGAGCACAACGCAAACUCACAUGAAUCAGGCAACCAACCUUAAAAGGAAAUAACAAAUCAAUAAAGUAGACAGAUCAGAGGUAGUUAAGUGCCUGGCACUCCACGGCUCAGCAUGCAGUGCUCAUUUCAAUCUGAGCACAUGGCAUCGCAUGCUGCUUUGAGACAAUCUCAACAUGACUCAUUACAGGCUGAGGCUACACAUCACCACUUUCCAAGUUCUCAGAUUUAAGCCAAGCGAAUACAGCCUUCAAGGUCUUGGCAAGUUGUUCAUGACAUUAAACUGUGCAUUGUCAGUCCUCCCAUAUGCGAGGGCCACAUGUCCUUUCUCUUCCAAAUGUGCUUUAUCCAACUCACUAAUUCAGACUGUACAGCUUUACUAUGAAGUCAUUCUUGCAACCUUGCAACUACAUCUUCCUGGAUAUGUAGCUGGGGAAUUACUCUUCCUCCUAAAAAGGCUGUUAAACACAUGCAGUUAUUGGAUCUUUUUAAAAAGGUCCAGCUCCAGGCAGUGCACACUAUUCAGGUUGAGUAAGAAUUUUUAGCAGCUAUGUGCAUGAAACUGCCACUGGCAAAAGCAGUCUCCUGAAAAGAAAUAAAGACACAGACAGUAGCAAAUAUGUCUAAUUUUAUCUACAUUCCUAUCAAAAAAAAAAAGCACCAAAAACACUGCAGAGAAAUGUUAAUAUGUCUGAUAACUGAAGGUAUCUGAUUUUGAAAAAAUUAGUUGGAAAGAGAACCCUUUUUUCCCUUCCAUUCUAACCCCUGAUGAUCUUCCUCCUCCUACAUGAGCAUGUAGUUAUGCUGAAGUAACUGAAGGAUCCAGAUAAUAUAUCAUGAAGAAUCAUUUACACUAUAAAGGCAGAUGAAAACGGGAAACGUCAUAUUAUAUUUAGUUUAAUACUAUACUGCUUUUCCUUCAUAUAUUAAUAGUUUUGCAUCAGUAAACUCUCACUGAGCUCUCCUACAACUCUAAAUUCCCUUCUGCUGUGCUAUUUCCAUUUUCUCAGUUACUCCCGCAGCUGAGACCAUGACUUUCUUCUCCCUCCUGUACUAGCUUGUGUGUGGCCUUCUGAUCCUGGGAAAAGACAGAAUAAACACAGAACACUAAAUACCAUCCUCAACAGAGCAUGAUGCGAAGUGAGACUGAUGACUGUUGGGAGAAGUUGUUCGGUACACUGCCGUAAAUAAGCAGAGUAAGUGCGUAAGCUAGCAAGACAGACUUUGCAUGAUGUAAAGAAAUCCCCUAACAUUAGCGUAAAAAGAAGCUGCAGACCAAAUUCACCCAUUAGCAUGUUUAAGAACCACAAGAGAAUGAUACUUGAACAACACAGAUAUACUUCAGACAGCAUUCUUUGUUUGCUGGUUACAGAAACCUUUAAGAUGUGUAACAGCUUUCCUGCAAGCAAUAGCUUAGAAGCAAUGUGUACGAGCAAUGGGUGUACAGCUUUUGACUACUGGUGUAGCUAAAAAUGCCAUGUUCAAUAGAGUACCACAUUCUCUGAUUUUUAAGUUUAAGAAUCCCAAUCUAUACAUCCCUGCACAGUUCUGAGAAGAAAAAUACAUGGCGCUUGGAAAGGAAAGCCAGGUUCCAAUGUGAGCUUGGCAGGGUCAGGUCCUUCACUUUCAAAUUCCUUCAGCUGCUCAAGAGACACUAGUCAAGGACUUUUCAAGGAAAAAACUGAUAUAUACAGCAGACAGCAAAUCAAAAUGUAAAAAGCAUUAAAAAGCCUGCGCCUGGUCAACUGCCAGAUCAUAGCACUAAAAUCCUAGGAAUGCCGUGAUUAUUGCAGGAAAGGUGGAUGGUAGGAACUGCUUUUUCCCUCGCUGGUCUAGCAGUACAGAAAUGGUGGCACAAAACUGGAAGAAUAAUUGGGUCAAGUUAUUCCCAUAGAGCACAUUCUCAUAAGAGAUUUCUCCAGGAUCUCCCAGUCAGAGGCACAUCUGAUAUCUCUUGACACCCCCAUUCCCUAGGGACGUCUGCCUCAUUCUCCGUAUCUCCCUCCUGCUUACUCACUUAGCGCUGCGGAGCCCAAAUACAGUGACCUAGAUUCCACUUGUGUACCACCAACAGAUCUUUCAGUUGGACUGACAGGGUAUGAUCUCCACUAAUGUUGGAGGGAAAAAGAACUCAGCCUGAUUUUCAGAACCCAGGUGGAACCUGCAGGAUGAACAACAGGCAUGUGGGUGCACACAUGUGCCUGUAGUGGGUAGAAAUAAGCAACUGGGUUCUUUAACUUAGAAUUGUAACAUUGACUUUAGAACUGCUACUGUUUAAGUCAGAACCCGCUUUCUCUAUGUUACUGUUAAAUGACAAUGCAAACAUUUAUCAUGAUGCGUUUGAGAGCUCUUGACAAGCUGUUUGCCUGCUUCAUAGAGUUCUGUUUGUUCAAAAGCCCUGCCUGGGUUGACUCUUCUGUUUAUACAGAUGAACUCUCCCAUAUGGCAAUGGUGAGAGAGUAAAAGCAACAGAGAAACGAGCGGUCAUAGAUUCCAUCCCUUUCAUUAAUAUAAUUGGAUAAAUAAGAAUACUAACAUUUGUGGUAGUCUAAAUAAGGCUUGGGAGCACUCAUGAACUCUGCUGUUACAUGAUAUGCAGGUCAAUGAAAGAAAAAGCUGAAUUUCAAACAUACAGUAGUGUUCAGUUCAGAAUCCCAUACAAUUGGUAUAGAUUCUAGCCUCCUGCUUCAACUAAAACAAGAUUAAAUUCUGAGCUAAGUGCAACAUCCUUUACCACAAGAGUAAAUAUCCCCUCUUUCCACCUACCUACUAAGUGAUGAGCAUUCCUUGAAGAAACAAGAUACAGCAGUUUGAGAAGGAGGAAACUAAAAUGCUAUUAUGAUAAAAACUUCCAAAAGGACCUCAUGCUAUAGCAAAUGGGAACAAAAUUCCGUAGCCCCUGCCUGGGACGAUCAAGUCAGUCAUAGCUUGUAGGGGAUCACUGAGUAAGUGAAAAGUACAUUUAAAAACACAUUCACAUCUUUAUGUUUUAACACACUAUUGUAAAGGAAAUGUAUGUGAUGCUUUUGCUUAAGUGUUUGUGUACCUGAAAUUGCAAUAGGGAACUCAAAAUGAUUGCAGCUGUCAAGUUAGAGUCAGAGGCUUAAACUGUGAUGUUUAUUUAAUCUUUCCGUAAGCUUAUUAUUACAGUUUCAAGCACAGAUUCUCCUUUCAGGUCAACCUCUCCUCUUCAGGUCAAUUUGCUUAAAGGUCUAAGCUUAUUAACUUGGUAAGAACUUAAGUGCUGGGGGACAAAGGAAAAUCCAUACACUUAAAAGAUCAAAUGCCUUUUCCCCAUGUUUUACUUUAGGAGGAAGUACAUGAAAUAAGACUUUUCAUUUGAUGUGCUAUAGGGUAUUUAUACCACAAGAGGGCACUAAAACCAUACUUAAAGCAGAUAAUUAAGCUACUGCUGUAUGUAUUACAAAACUAAGUCACAAAGUAAGGAACCAUGCACUGCUUUCAAACAUACACACUCACUACAUAAAAGCAUUCCUCUAUCUUGAUGGCAGGCACAUACAUUUAUAGUGUACUCGCACUACCUCUACUUCCAACAGAGCAGCACAAAGCUCUUUGUAAAAGCACUGUCCUGCCAAGUAAUGAAAGACAGUGAGAGUAAAGAAACUCGAAGCUUGAAGCAAGUUGGGCUUCCAUGUUUUCAAUACCAGUCUAUUAAUAAAGCUUAAGAUUUUGAAUUUUGAUCUUGUCUAAAAGAACGUGAAGUGCAUGAACUCACAAUGAAGUGGAACUGUCAGAGGGAGAUGCUUACAGUCAGAUGAAAAAAAAUUUGAGUACAAAUUACUUCUGCUUGUCCAAGCAGCAAUUCUGUUUACACACAUAAGGAGAAGUCCUAUGCAACAGCAAUUAACAAAUCAACAUGUUUCAACACUAAAAAUAUGCUUCUAGUAUACUGUAACCUUUUUAAUAAUGCUUGAAAACAUCUGAAUGUUUGCAUCAACCAAUGAAGUGCCAAAGGAACAAUCCCUUAGGCCUCAGUCGGAUAUUCUUCUACAGACUUUAUUACAUUAUAAAAGCUACUUGCAAUUUUUUAAGCCAUAAAGGUGCGCAAAACAAAUCCUGGCAAUGCACCACUUCAGUAUCAGACAAAAAUAAUGUUGGCUUUCUCUACCAGCUUAAUGACCAGUACAAAGCCAAAGUACCUCAUUUCUGCAGCUCUGAAAGUUGGCUAUUUUUUCAUAUUAAGGUUUUUUUACACUUGUUAUGCAAGUCUCUUGGUCCUAUUAUCUGUGUGUCAGAUAUGGCUGCUUAGGUAUCUGUCAAGCAACAAAAUUUCUGCUAAUUAGCAUGCUCCAGGAACUGACUUCCCAGUAACUUCAGAGUUAAUCAUUCAGUAGCAACAUGCUUAACUCUGGCCAAGUCACCCCUAGGACCACCGCAGGAUAAUCCUGUAACAGUGAAGUCUUCCGACCAUCUUCUCAGUUAUUUGGGAACAAGGCAGUAUGUGGCUGUGGGUCCAAGUAACGGAGGUAUAUGUAGCAAUGCAGCACUAUUGCUGUAUAAUAUCCCCAUCAGUUGCAACUGACUGAACUCCUGCAGUUGCCUAAAAUACAUGUCAUAGGUGACAGAGUUGUACUAAAUUUUGGACACUUCACAUACCUCCUCCAUAAGAAAAAAAACACACCAAAAACCUUUUCAAAUUUAGAAAUCCUUUUACAAUGAAAACAUUUAUAUAAACCUCAAAAUAGGAGGCAGAAGUUAAAUAGAAAAAUGUUGGUCUGAGAUUUUUAAUUCCUCUUCUCACAUGCAUGAAGUGACUUGAGUUUAAAAUACAAUUUUCUAUGUAGAACAGUCCUUAAGUUGGGGGGGGGGGGG
Molecule: long non-coding RNA, 12555 nt
Organism: Falco peregrinus (peregrine falcon)
Lineage: Eukaryota; Metazoa; Chordata; Aves; Falconiformes; Falconidae
Exons: 2
Source: RefSeq, a predicted model, not a curated record